RNAcentral lists this ribosomal RNA (253 nucleotides) under uncultured bacterium. Its description in RNAcentral is "partial 16S ribosomal RNA". It matches the Rfam family "Bacterial small subunit ribosomal RNA", at positions 524 to 776 of the family's 1533-position model. The record is from RNAcentral.
UACGGGGGGGGCAAGCGUUGUUCGGAAUUACUGGGCGUAAAGGGCGCGUAGGCGGCCUACUAAGUCGGACGUGAAAUCCCUCGGCUCAACCGGGGAACUGCGUCCGAUACUGUCGGGCUAGAGUCCGGAAGAGGCGAGUGGAAUUCCCGGUGUAGCGGUGAAAUGCGCAGAUAUCGGGAGGAACACCAAUGGCGAAGGCAGCUCGCUGGGACGGUACUGACGCUGAGACGCGAAAGCGUGGGGAGCAAACAGG